Molecule: ribosomal RNA, 1449 nt
Filed under: Mammaliicoccus stepanovicii
Lineage: Bacteria; Bacillati; Bacillota; Bacilli; Caryophanales; Staphylococcaceae
Description: bacterial SSU rRNA
Rfam family: Bacterial small subunit ribosomal RNA
Source: RNAcentral
GCCUAAUACAUGCAGUCGAGCGAACAGAUGAGAAGCUUGCUUCUCUGAUGUUAGCGGCGGACGGGUGAGUAACACGUGGGUAACCUACCUAUAAGACUGGGAUAACUCCGGGAAACCGGGGCUAAUACCGGAUAAUAUUUUGAACCGCAUGGUUCGAUAGUGAAAGACGGUUUCGGCUGUCACUUAUAGAUGGACCCGCGCCGUAUUAGCUAGUUGGUAAGGUAAUGGCUUACCAAGGCGACGAUACGUAGCCGACCUGAGAGGGUGAUCGGCCACACUGGGACUGAGACACGGCCCAGACUCCUACGGGAGGCAGCAGUAGGGAAUCUUCCGCAAUGGGCGAAAGCCUGACGGAGCAACGCCGCGUGAGUGAUGAAGGUUUUCGGAUCGUAAAACUCUGUUGUUAGGGAAGAACAAAUUUGUUAGUAACUGAACAAGUCUUGACGGUACCUAACCAGAAAGCCACGGCUAACUACGUGCCAGCAGCCGCGGUAAUACGUAGGUGGCAAGCGUUAUCCGGAAUUAUUGGGCGUAAAGCGCGCGUAGGCGGUUUCUUAAGUCUGAUGUGAAAGCCCACGGCUCAACCGUGGAGGGUCAUUGGAAACUGGGGAACUUGAGUGCAGAAGAGGAGAGUGGAAUUCCAUGUGUAGCGGUGAAAUGCGCAGAGAUAUGGAGGAACACCAGUGGCGAAGGCGGCUCUCUGGUCUGUAACUGACGCUGAGGUGCGAAAGCGUGGGGAUCAAACAGGAUUAGAUACCCUGGUAGUCCACGCCGUAAACGAUGAGUGCUAAGUGUUAGGGGGUUUCCGCCCCUUAGUGCUGCAGCUAACGCAUUAAGCACUCCGCCUGGGGGAGUACGACCGCAAGGUUGAAACUCAAAGGAAUUGACGGGGGACCCGCACAAGCGGUGGAGCAUGGUGGUUUAAUUCGAAGCAACGCGAAGAACCUUACCAAAUCUUUGACAUCCUUUGAUCGCUCUAGAAGAAAGAGUUUUCCCCUUCCGGGGACAAAGUGACAGGUGGUGCAUGGUUGUCGUCAGCUCGUGUCGUGAGAUGUUGGGUUAAGUCCCGCAACGAGCGCAACCCUUAAGCUUAGUUGCCAUCAUUAAGUUGGGCACUCUAGGUUGACUGCCGGUGACAAACCGGAGGAAGGUGGGGAUGACGUCAAAUCAUCAUGCCCCUUAUGAUUUGGGCUACACACGUGCUACAAUGGAUAAUACAAAGGGCAGCGAACCCGCGAGGUCAAGCAAAUCCCAUAAAAUUAUUCUCAGUUCGGAUUGUAGUCUGCAACUCGACUACAUGAAGCUGGAAUCGCUAGUAAUCGUAGAUCAGCAUGCUACGGUGAAUACGUUCCCGGGUCUUGUACACACCGCCCGUCACACCACGAGAGUUUGUAACACCCGAAGCCGGUGGAGUAACCUUUAUAGGAGCUAGCCGUCGAAGGUGGACAG